This 237-nucleotide long non-coding RNA is filed under the name Lathyrus oleraceus (garden pea). Its description in RNAcentral is "Pisum sativum (pea) long non-coding RNA (PSAT_LNC019498)". The record is from RNAcentral. Lineage: Eukaryota; Viridiplantae; Streptophyta; Magnoliopsida; Fabales; Fabaceae.
UCCCUCCUAGCUUUUGUGAGUUUCUUGUUUGUUGGGUGUUUAUUCUUUUGUACAGUUAUUUACUUUCAGCAUUUACCUACUUUAUCUUAUUGCAUUAUGUACAUAUGAUUGUUGUAUCUGCUGUUGGGUGGGUUGUUUGUUGGGAUGGGUUGUUCUAUGAGAGGUAAGCCCACUACCCAGGCUUGAGCGUACACACAGGUUUUAGAGUGGAUAGUCAUGAGGCUUGCGUAGCAUGUU